GGGGCGUAUCUCAGAUGGUAGAGCGCUCGCUUAGCAUGCUAGAGAUACGGGGAUCCAUACCCUGCGCCUCCG
This is a non-coding RNA of Trichonephila inaurata madagascariensis, 72 nucleotides long. The record is from the annotation of a GenBank genome assembly. NCBI's taxonomy places the organism in Eukaryota, Metazoa, Arthropoda, Arachnida, Araneae, Nephilidae.